AUUCAUAUCUUGUAGCGGAAAUACCUUGUCAUAAAAGUGGUUUUCCCAGGGAGGGGCUCAUCCAUUACACUUUGGGUGUGCUGCUGAUCCCUAUGAAUCCCCCAAAUGUGGGGAACUCAACUGCAUAAUUUGUGUUAAUAGGAAACUGCACUUGUUAUUUCCCU
This 164-nucleotide small nuclear RNA is filed under the name Pogona vitticeps (central bearded dragon). RNAcentral's name for it is "U1 spliceosomal RNA (ENSPVIG00000023169.1)". It matches the Rfam family "U1 spliceosomal RNA". Rfam says of the family: U1 is a small nuclear RNA (snRNA) component of the spliceosome (involved in pre-mRNA splicing). Its 5' end forms complementary base pairs with the 5' splice junction, thus defining the 5' donor site of an intron. There are significant differences in sequence and secondary structure between metazoan and yeast U1 snRNAs, the latter being much longer (568 nucleotides as compared to 164 nucleotides in human). Lineage: Eukaryota; Metazoa; Chordata; Lepidosauria; Squamata; Agamidae. The record is from Rfam by way of RNAcentral.